This 253-nucleotide ribosomal RNA is filed under the name uncultured bacterium. RNAcentral describes it as "partial 16S ribosomal RNA". It matches the Rfam family "Bacterial small subunit ribosomal RNA", at positions 524 to 776 of the family's 1533-position model. The record is from RNAcentral.
UACGUAGGGUGCAAGCGUUGUCCGGAAUUAUUGGGCGUAAAGAGCUCGUAGGCGGUCUGUCGCGUCUGCUGUGAAAACUCAGGGCUUAACCCUGAGCUUGCAGUGGGUACGGGCAGACUAGAGUGCGGUAGGGGAGACUGGAAUUCCUGGUGUAGCGGUGAAAUGCGCAGAUAUCAGGAGGAACACCGGUGGCGAAGGCGGGUCUCUGGGCCGAUACUGACGCUGAGGCGCGAAAGCCAGGGGAGCGAACGGG